Molecule: ribosomal RNA, 497 nt
Filed under: uncultured bacterium
Lineage: Bacteria
Description: partial 16S ribosomal RNA
Rfam family: Bacterial small subunit ribosomal RNA
Source: RNAcentral
GACGAACGCUGGCGGCGUGCCUAAUACAUGCAAGUAGAACGCUGAAGAGAGGAGCUUGCUCUUCUUGGAUGAGUUGCGAACGGGUGAGUAACGCGUAGGUAACCUGCCUUGUAGCGGGGGAUAACUAUUGGAAACGAUAGCUAAUACCGCAUAACAAUGGAUGACCCAUGUCAUUUAUUUGAAAGGGGCAAAUGCUCCACUACAAGAUGGACCUGCGUUGUAUUAGCUAGUAGGUGAGGUAACGGCUCACCUAGGCGACGAUACAUAGCCGACCUGAGAGGGUGAUCGGCCACACUGGGACUGAGACACGGCCCAGACUCCUACGGGAGGCAGCAGUAGGGAAUCCUCGGCAAUGGGGGCAACCCUGACCGAGCAACGCCGCGUGAGUGAAGAAGGUUUUCGGAUCGUAAAGCUCUGUUGUAAGUCAAGAACGAGUGUGAGAGUGGAAAGUUCACACUGUGACGGUAGCUUACCAGAAAGGGACGGCUAACUACGUG